RNAcentral lists this long non-coding RNA (2124 nucleotides) under Anolis carolinensis (green anole). RNAcentral describes it as "lncRNA (ENSACAG00000045076.1)". Lineage: Eukaryota; Metazoa; Chordata; Lepidosauria; Squamata; Anolidae. The record is from RNAcentral.
AUGCAAGUGGAGGAUGAAGAGCUCUUGGGCGCCGGAGGAGGAAGGUCGGAAAGGACCACUCCCGAGACGGACGCUGAGUUCCACCAGCUGGCGGCCCUGGCGUCAUCCACCGCUUAUGCCCAGCCAAAUGGGGUAACCCAGAGGCGCGGAGUGGUGCGGGGAGAUAGCACCGGAGGAGAGGAAGGUUCACCUUCCCCAGGCCCGCAAAAGAUGGUGUUUCUGGAGGAGAGGAUGUCGGCGAUGGAGACCACCCUGGCAGUGAUGUCGAGGGCGAUGGAGCGCCUGGCGGUUUUGGCGGAGCCGGAGCGAGGAAGGGAACUCCGGGCUAGCUCAAUGUGGGACGUGAGCAUGGGAAGUAGCCAGGGCUUUGCAGACCUCCCAGCACCGAAGGGAAGGGAAAUGCGAAAGGAGCCCGGUGCCCGGCCCAAGAUCCAAACGAGCCUGACGCGGGUGGAGGAGAGUGACGACGAAGGGGAAAAGCCUCCGAGAAUCCCGGCUACGCUCCCAACUGAGACCCUGGUGCCCCUGGCGAAUGCCGGGCGUGGCACAGGACAAAGGGAAGCAGCAGCGGGGCCCACUGGCCCGCAAGGGGGCUUGCGACGGGCGGAGGAUUGGGGAUUGCCACCACAGGGACCCCUACCGAGACGAGAGGAACUAAGGAUCGAGUUUGGGGGAGAGUCCUCUGAACUGGAUUUUUUCCUGACCACGGUGAGGGGCUAUAUGGAGGACAAUGCCCACACUUUCAGAACGGAAUCCAGCCGGGUACGGGCCAUUGGUGCAGUGUUGAAGAGGGGAGCGGCCAGCUGGUACGUUCAACUACACGCGCGGCGCGACCCAUGUCUGGGAUCACUCCGACGCUUUAUGGGGGCCCUGGAGACCCGUUUCCGAGAUCCACUGGAGCAGAUCCGGGCGAGGGAGGAGUUGAAGACCGUCUCCCAGGGGCAGAGGUCGGUAUCUGAGUAUGCGGAGGAGUUCCAAUGCCUCGCUGAAAAGGUGCCGGAAUGGUCUGCAGUGACAAAGAUAGAACUCUUCAAAGAGGGGCUCAGGCGGGAGAUCCUCUCCUGGGCGGUGCAUCGUGAUGAGCCUGACACACUGCGCGGAUGGAUUCAGCUGGCGGGGCGCGUCGAGACAUCGCUGGCCCAGGCGAGGAGGCACCGAGGAGGGCUACAGCAGCGGCCGCAGAUGAAAGAGGGGAGCCGGAAGGAGGGAUCAACCCCAGCCGGGAGGAGAACGGAGCCGACAGGGAACGUGAGCACCAGCAGGAGGGGCUGCUUCGUGUGCGGCCGUUUGGGCCACAGGGCUGCCGAGUGCUGGCAGAGAAAAGGGGAAGGCGGAGGCCCGCCCAAACCAAGAGCCGUGGCAGGGAAACGCGCCGAGGAAGAACCACCGAUGAGGCACCACUCGGGGGGGUUGGACGAAGGGGAGGAGGACGCCAUGUCAGAACCCUGCUACUAGAGCCUGGAUGUGGCUCUGAGUUUCAGGGUCACUGACAUUGAUAAGACACCUGCGUCCCAGGACUCGGAGGAGAAACGGCUGAUGGACUUGGCGGGGAAUUUGCGCGGGGUUUUACUGAGCGGGAAGAGACUGUUCAAAUGAGGGGGAGGGUAUAUAAAGGAGGGUUGGCCGGAGCCUCCCAUUCUUGGCUUUUCUGAUGUUCAUGUUUCCUACAGUAAAAGUUUCUGGUGAGAUCACAGAGAGUCUUGUGUGUUCAUUCAGGAGCGGCUGUGGUGAGCUGACAGAAAUAUAUUGUCAAGGGGACCCAAAUCUAGAUAUAAAAUUAAUAUGUUUCACAUACACCUUAUACACACAGACUGAAGAUAACUGUAUACAUAGUAUUUUAAAAAUAAUUUGUACAUGAAACAUUUGUGUGCACUGAAUCUUCAGAAAGCAAUGGUUUCACGCUCUCAGCCACUCAUGGACGUUUUUGGAUUUUAGAACGUUUCCAGUUUUUUAAAAUUCCAUAUAAGGGAUGCUCAACCUGUAUUUCUAAAUUGGUGGCUGGAGAGAAAAGGGUGUUUCAAGAAUUCAGCAGUUGGAGAGAGGGAGAUGUUGAAACCAUUCCAAACGUAUUUUCCCCAUUGAAUGAAAGCUGUUAGAAGUUGGCAAAUGUCAUCAAGUUACGGC